UGGGGAAUAUUGGACAAUGGGGGAAACCCUGAUCCAGCCAUGCCGCGUGUGUGAAGAAGGCCCUCGGGUUGUAAAGCACUUUCAGCGAGGAAGAACGCUAGCGGUUAAUACCCGCUAGGAAAGACAUCACUCGCAGAAGAAGCACCGGCUAACUCCGUGCCAGCAGCCGCGGUAAUACGGAGGGUGCAAGCGUUAAUCGGAAUUACUGGGCGUAAAGCGCGCGUAGGUGGCUUGAUAAGCCGGUUGUGAAAGCCCCGGGCUCAACCUGGGAACGGCAUCCGGAACUGUCAAGCUAGAGUGCAGGAGAGGAAGGUAGAAUUCCCGGUGUAGCGGUGAAAUGCGUAGAGAUCGGGAGGAAUACCAGUGGCGAAGGCGGCCUUCUGACUGACACUGACACUGA
This 400-nucleotide ribosomal RNA is filed under the name Halomonas sp. 26ox3. Its description in RNAcentral is "bacterial SSU rRNA". It matches the Rfam family "Bacterial small subunit ribosomal RNA", at positions 355 to 749 of the family's 1533-position model. Lineage: Bacteria; Pseudomonadati; Pseudomonadota; Gammaproteobacteria; Oceanospirillales; Halomonadaceae. The record is from RNAcentral.